GUUUCCGAGGAGCGUUGCGAGGGGUCCCGAUCAUCCGGGGGCCCGCCAGGCUCGGAACGACGGCGCCACACUCCGCGGGCCGUUCAACAACGACGCUCACCGUCC
RNAcentral lists this non-coding RNA (105 nucleotides) under Roseateles aquatilis. Its description in RNAcentral is "SAH sequence". It matches the Rfam family "SAH (S-adenosyl-L-homocysteine) riboswitch aptamer". The record is from Rfam by way of RNAcentral. Lineage: Bacteria; Pseudomonadati; Pseudomonadota; Betaproteobacteria; Burkholderiales; Sphaerotilaceae.